Molecule: long non-coding RNA, 2087 nt
Filed under: Equus caballus (horse)
Lineage: Eukaryota; Metazoa; Chordata; Mammalia; Perissodactyla; Equidae
Description: lncRNA (ENSECAG00000058779.1)
Source: RNAcentral
AAUGAGAGACAGCCCCUUUACUCCACAGCCUGCCGAAAUUAUUCAAACCAGCCAAUCUUUAAACCUCCCUACAGCUGCUCUGCCUGUUCUUUCCUGUAGAAACCACAGUAAAGUCUCUUGCCUCCAGUUCUCUCCCUUCCUUCUGCCUCGUGGCUGAUCUCAGGGCUUCCCUGUGUGGCCCCUCCUGCAGUGGCUUGUCUCCUCCUCUUGGGAACUGUAUUAGCCAAGCAAAGAGGAAUAUAAUGCUGUUUCAGAGAGAAUAGAUUAUUUAAAGGCUAGAAGUGGAAGGUAACUUGGUGAACUCACAAAGAGAGAACUCCAGGAGAUAUUAAGAAGUGAGAAUACAGAGGCAAAAGAGCCAAGAGUUGAAUAAUUAUGGCUCCCUUGGCCUUUGGAAGGGCUGGUGGAGCUUCUUUGCCUGCUGAUGCAGAGAGCCAGAGUAACUGACACACGUGGGAAUAGGUGAGCCCAACUGCAUGCCCACAGGACAAGGCUGAAGGUUUUGCUUCUGACCUAAGCCGUAAAAGAUGGCUCUGAACAUUUCAAAGGAUGAGAUGGAACAAAAAGGAUGAACAUUUUGUAUAAAGCAGGAAACCACAGGGUCUUUUCAAGGAGCUGUGAAACUUCCGUGUGCUGAAAAAGAGAUUGGCCCUGAGCUAACGUCCAUGCUCAUCUUCCUCUGUAUGUGGGACACCUGCCACAGCAUGGCUUGACAAGCCGUGCCAUGUCCGCACCCGGGAUCUGAACCGGAGAACCGUGGGCCACUGCAGUGGACCAUGCAAACUUAACUGCUGCACCACCGGGCCAGCCCCUAAUUUUCCAUUUUGUAAGACCGUGAAAAAGCUUGAGUAACCACUUGUGUUUACAUCUUCUUUUAUAAUUAGCAGGGAAGUGCCUCAAAAGAGACAUUUGCCUCUGUUUGGAGCAGCUUUGAUGAGUGUAAGAUCGUGAAGGUUUGUACUGCUAUUUGUUACCAAACAAUCAUCGAGAAACUUCAGUGUGCGUGAUUAUGGUGUUUGAAUUUUUUCUCAUCUUUCAGGACCAAUUGCUUACUUUAUAAAAUUUCAUUUUUGUUUGUAUUUUGCUUUGUGAUUUUUUAGUAAGGGCAUAUUUAUUUUACUUUUAAAGUGUUUACCUUUCUAUAUAUUAGCAUUGUUUUAAAAUAUUACAUCAAAGUUCCUGGUUUUUAUUGUUUUGUAUUACUGUAUUUCACAUCCACUUUUCCAUUAGUUUUUUGCUACCUGUUAAUUUUAUGAUGUUUAAAAUUUUUCAUAGCCUCUUUUGUGAUUGUUAAUUCUCUUAUUCUUAAUCUUCUAGUUUCUUCAAUAUGUCAAGCAUUUAAUUUUUUAAAUUUCACAUAUUUUUUCAAAUCGGAAAAUUUCUUCUCCCAUGUUUGCAUUAUGGUUCUUCAUUUACUUGUUAAAAGGAAAUAUCUGUCUUUAACGAGUUAACUCCAAAAGAGUAGAAAGUUUUAUCUCUCUGCGGUAGGCAGAAUAGUGCUCUUUCAAAGAUACCUACGCCCCACUUCCUGGAAUCUGUGAACAUGUUACUUUAUGGCAAAAGAGACUUGCAGAUGUGAUUAACAUUAUGGACCCUAAAAUAUCCUAGAUUAUCCAGGUGGGCACAAUCUAAUCACCUCACUCUUUAAAAGUGGAAGAGGAAAGCAAAAGCGUGGGUCAGAGAGAAAAGAAGAAAGAAGGAGAGAGUGGAAGCCUGAAAGGGACUCGGGCUGCCCUCGCUGGCUUCUAUGAAGGAGGAAGGGAAGCGGGAGCCAAGGAAUGAUGGGGGUGCUUCUAGAAGCUGGGAACAGCCUUCCGUUGGCAGCCAGCAAGAAUAUGGCGAUCUUUGUCAUAGGAUCUCAAGAAGUGAAUUCUGCUGACAGCCCAGAUGAGGAAGAAAUGGAUCCUUCUCUAGGACCUCCAGAAAGGAACACAGCUGGCCAAACCUUUGAUUUGAGCCUGUUGAGACCAGUGUUGGAUCUUUGUCCUACAGAAAUAUAGAAUAACAAAUUUGUGUUGUUUCAAGCCAGUGAAUUUGUGGUCAUCUCUUAUGGAGGCAAUAGAAAACUAACGCACUCUCUAGUAUUU